Molecule: ribosomal RNA, 254 nt
Filed under: uncultured bacterium
Lineage: Bacteria
Description: partial 16S ribosomal RNA
Rfam family: Bacterial small subunit ribosomal RNA
Source: RNAcentral
UACGUAGGGGGCGAGCGUUGUCCGGAUUUAUUGGGCGUAAAGAGCUCGUAGGCGGUUUGGUAAGUUGGAUGUGAAAUCUCCAGGCUCAACUUGGAGGGGUCAUUCGAUACUGCCAUGACUAGAGUUCGGUAGGGGAGUGUGGAAUUCCUGGUGGAGCGGUGAAAUGCGCAGAUAUCGGGAGGAACACCGGUGGCGAAGGCGGCGACCUGGGUCGAUACUGACGCUGAUGCGCGAAAGCGUGGGGAGCAAACAGG